RNAcentral lists this transfer RNA (62 nucleotides) under Chaceon granulatus. RNAcentral's name for it is "tRNA-Thr". It matches the Rfam family "tRNA". From Rfam's summary of the family: Transfer RNA (tRNA) molecules are approximately 80 nucleotides in length. Their secondary structure includes four short double-helical elements and three loops (D, anti-codon, and T loops). The record is from RNAcentral. Lineage: Eukaryota; Metazoa; Arthropoda; Malacostraca; Decapoda; Geryonidae. RNAcentral also lists the same sequence under 1 other name.
GUUUUAAUAGUUUAAACAAAACUUUGGUCUUGUAAACCAACAAUGAAAUUUUUCUUAAAACU